Molecule: long non-coding RNA, 358 nt
Organism: Magnolia sinica
Lineage: Eukaryota; Viridiplantae; Streptophyta; Magnoliopsida; Magnoliales; Magnoliaceae
Exons: 2
Source: RefSeq, a predicted model, not a curated record
CCUUCGGCAUGCAGCGAUAUUUUCUGGGGCUUUUGGGAGGAAAAGGGGAUCGAGAAAAGCACAACCAUGAAGCUCUUUGGCAAGCACGUAUUCCCUGGCCAAAUCGUGCUCGCGGCAUCUGGGCUUCUCUUCUUGGCAUCAACAACGUACGACGUGCAUAGGUCGACAAAGAAUAACGAGAGGCCCCCGUCAAAGGAACAAAUCCAAGCCCUUGCAGACUACCUCAGAUCUAGACGCGAAUCUCCUUGAUUUUGUGAUCGAAGCCGGUUCUUCUACAAGGCUAUUCACCUGUGUGUAAAAAGAUAUUCCGCUAUGGACUAAAGAUAUUCAACUACUUGUUUAUUUCUUCGUUCACUUG